Molecule: non-coding RNA, 662 nt
Organism: Pelecanus crispus (Dalmatian pelican)
Lineage: Eukaryota; Metazoa; Chordata; Aves; Pelecaniformes; Pelecanidae
Source: RefSeq, a predicted model, not a curated record
AAGUGGAAAGCUAAAUAACCAUUUAGAAGCUGCUAUACACGAGGCCAUGAGUGAACUAGACAAAAUGUCUGGGAAUGUCCACCAAAUCCCACAGGGAGACAGACAAGUGAAGCCUCCAAAACCCAAGAGGAGGAAGAUCUCUAGAUAACAUUGAAUGUCUUUGUUACUGGUCCAGUACUUAUCAAAAUGAACGUGCACAUAAGUCUAUAUGUAGGUAUUGGUAUAGGCGUGGUUAUAUCAAUAUUUAUAUGAAGACAGAUAGAUACCAUCACAGGGUGCUAUGCGGAUUAGUGGUACAAUAUUUUUGAUGAUUAGGAGGGAUAGCGGUUGCUGGAUAAGCCAAUCAGAAAUCUUGAAAGGUUGCAGUAACAAUGUCAGAUGAUUACUGAAAUUUUUUUCUAUAAUACUAAAAUUGUGAUUAUAAGAAAUAGUCCAAAUGUUUCUGAGAAAUUUUCAUUGUGUAUAUAGAUAAUACAGAAUUUCAUGGUGAUAUCUGAAAUGUAAAUAUUGUACAAUAUUGUCAUGUACAAGCGUACCUAAUGCACACUUUAUCUUUUAUUGUACAAAAAAUAGUGUACAAAAUUCUUUGGUUUCUAUUGAGUACACAUACAAGAGACUACCAGUGUAAAGUGAUAAAUAAAAAUACAGCCUAAAUGCUUUUA